RNAcentral lists this ribosomal RNA (253 nucleotides) under uncultured bacterium. RNAcentral's name for it is "partial 16S ribosomal RNA". It matches the Rfam family "Bacterial small subunit ribosomal RNA", at positions 524 to 776 of the family's 1533-position model. The record is from RNAcentral.
UACGUAGGUGGCAAGCGUUGUCCGGAAUUACUGGGUGUAAAGGGAGCGUAGGCGGGAAGCCAAGUUGGGUGUGAAAUGCCGCAGCUUAACUGCGGAGCUGCACCCAAAACUGGUUUUCUUGAGUGAUGUAGAGGCAGGCGGAAUUCCUAGUGUAGCGGUGAAAUGCGUAGAUAUGACAUAGAACACCGAUAGCGGAGGCAGCUUGCUACACAGUCAUUGACACUGAGGCACGAAAGCGUGGGGAUCAAACAGG